AGUGAACGCUGGCGGUAGGUCUAACACAUGCAAGUCGAACGGCAGCACAGUAAGAGCUUGCUCUUACGGGUGGCGAGUGGCGGACGGGUGAGGAAUACAUCGGAAUCUACUUUUUCGUGGGGGAUAACGUAGGGAAACUUACGCUAAUACCGCAUACGACCUACGGGUGAAAGCAGGGGAUCUUCGGACCUUGCGCGAUUGAAUGAGCCGAUGUCGGAUUAGCUAGUUGGCGGGGUAAAGGCCCACCAAGGCGACGAUCCGUAGCUGGUCUGAGAGGAUGAUCAGCCACACUGGAACUGAGACACGGUCCAGACUCCUACGGGAGGCAGCAGUGGGGAAUAUUUGACAAUGGGCGCAAGCCUGAUCCAGCCAUACCGCGUGGGUGAAGAAGGCCUUCGGGUUGUAAAGCCCUUUUGUUGGGAAAGAAAAGCAGCAGGUUAAUACCCCGCUGUUCUGACGGUACCCGAAGAAUAAGCACCGGCUAACUUCGUG
This 492-nucleotide ribosomal RNA is filed under the name uncultured bacterium. RNAcentral describes it as "partial 16S ribosomal RNA". It matches the Rfam family "Bacterial small subunit ribosomal RNA", at positions 29 to 507 of the family's 1533-position model. The record is from RNAcentral.